RNAcentral lists this ribosomal RNA (253 nucleotides) under uncultured bacterium. RNAcentral describes it as "partial 16S ribosomal RNA". It matches the Rfam family "Bacterial small subunit ribosomal RNA", at positions 524 to 776 of the family's 1533-position model. The record is from RNAcentral.
UACGUAGGGGGCAAGCGUUGUCCGGAGUUACUGGGCGUAAAGGGUGCGUAGGUGGUCAAUUAAGUCCAGUGUGAAAUUCCACGGCUAAACUGCGGGAGAGCGCUUGUAACUGGAUGGCUUGAGGGCGGGUCAGGAAGAUGGAAUUGUCAGUGUAGGGGUGAAAUCCGUAGAUAUUGGCAAGAACGCCAGUGGUGAAGACGGUCUUCUGGACUGAUACUGACGCUGAGGAACGAAAGCCAGGGGAGCGAACGGG